RNAcentral lists this long non-coding RNA (2198 nucleotides) under Panax ginseng (ginseng). RNAcentral describes it as "long non-coding RNA (PGIN_LNC014720)". Lineage: Eukaryota; Viridiplantae; Streptophyta; Magnoliopsida; Apiales; Araliaceae. The record is from RNAcentral.
CUCAGCAAAUGCGAAUAGAGAACUAAACUAAAGUUGAUAGGCAAAGUUCAAAUAUCAUACUAAUUUCAUUCACGACAACUGACAAAGAAAUUCCAAAGUGCAUCUCUCAUCAAUACAUCCAACACAACAUCAAUUCCUGAAUUAAACUGACAGGACCUCAUCCAAGAAAAUAAGAAGUAACAAAAAAAAAUAGAUGGGCCGAAGCAUAAGUAAACGUUAAACUCACCAGUUCAAAGUUGCAGAACUAAAGAAUAAAAUUGAAUUCUAUCACAACCAUUCAAGUAACAUGUAUUCCUCCACUCCACUCUUCAUAAUCGUCCAAUUCACUAGCUUCAAGCAUAGUUCAACCUGAAAAUGUCAUUCAACACAUAAAAACUCCCUUGCGGUGUAGGAAUCAAAUGGAACAUCUGGGAACAAAUUGGAUGAUAAAAUGAAGUCCAAAUUGAAGUCUAUUUAGAAAAAAAAGGAGUUAAAAAGUCAUAUAGCCUCCCCAAUCCUGGGCAUUAUAAAUUUAUACACCUGUAUACAUGGACAUCACCACAAACCCAAUACAUACAUACUAGAAUUAGCAAGCCAGCUAUAAAUUCCAUUUCUUUCCCUUUCAUCAAGUAGAAAACCUAGUGAGCAAGAGAAGAAUGAGACAACCGAGAAUGAGACAACCACUGGGUAAUAUGUAUUUUAACAGUAAAUAUAUAUGACAGCAUCAUGUUAGCCUAUGAUCAGACAAAAGCCUAUUCAAAACAAUAUAAUUUAGAAUAAAAAGCCAAUUCAAAACAAUAUAAGCUAAAAACAGUAGAGGAAUUUGAUAUGGAAAAGUAACUGCAUUGAGCAAUUCAAAAAUAUUGCAUCCAAUUGAAUUUUUUUUAAAAAAAUAGUGAUGGUAAUGCAACAUCAAAAUCUCAAAAAUGGAUAGAACAAGGAUAAUAUUCCACCACAAUGCACUCAACUCAACACCACCUUUUACUCCAAACUAGUUAGUAUUCCGCAGAAAUGCCAUAUUGGAAGAUUUACAAAAGGAUAGUAAGAGCAUGUUCAUCCACAGAAGACACCAAAAUCAAAAUUAUGCAAGUUCUGCAGAAAUGUUGCAGUCCAAAAACAUACAAAGUAAUAAAAUGUGGUCAUCAAUUGUCCAAAACUCAAUAAAAAGCUACCUGCUUCCCAAAACUCAAUUGGGAGCUACCUCAAUAGCAGAAUUAAAUACGCAAAGCAAUAUUUGUAAUACAAAGUCCAUGCCAUUUGUUCAACUGACCAGAUACUAAUUUAUAUUACAAUUAAAAACUUGAGUUGUGAGAAAACAACAAAAAUAUGAACUACAGAACUCCAUUAACUCUUUUCAAAUACUUAUUAAGAAAAAGACCGAGAUUUUCUUUCGGGUGUCGGUAGUUUUUAAAAGGAUGAAACAAUGUAAGUUUCCACUUGAGUGCAGAGCAUCAAUCAAAAUUUAUUCACAUCUUUCAAAAAAAAAAAAAUUACUAUCAAUUUUUCACAACUCAAUAAAUCUUAAGCUCAAGUCCUAGUAACAGCAGGCAAGGACAAAGAAGGAAAACAGUUAGCAGUAGAGGUAGAACUGGUAAUAACUAAGUUAAAAUGGUAACAGAUAAUAUAUACAAAUGAAGAAUAUGGCAAGAGAAAAUAUAGGUCUACAAAAUACCAUCAAUGUAAAAUGAAUACUUUGAUAUCAAUUCAUGAAUCAAACAAGAUAUAAUUCGUGAUCUGUAAACAAAUAGAUUAGGACACAGUUCAGAAGAUAUAGCUACUAAAAAUGCAUACACUAAGAAUCUCCUUUAGUUAUCCACCGAUUGGUGAUUUGAUCUUGUCAGUCUUAUUUGACUUACCACAUUAUAAUUAAUUCAGUGUCAUUUUCUUCUAACUACGCAAAAAUUCCAUGGAAAAUAAGUUAUCAAUCAACAGACUGUAAUAAUUAUAUGAAUAUUUAAAAUCAUCUAAAACACAUCAAAACCAUCAUAAGCAUAGGAAGUCAAGUUACAUUUUCAAUAGUAGAGAGUAGACUUGAGUUGCUCACGGAUAGAUUCAUCGGCCUGAUUCCUACAACACUAAACUGAUUGGCUUUGCAGAACACAAUCAAAAAACCUCAAGAUAAUAAAAAUAGCAUAGAUAGCAACACAGCUAAAAAAACAAAUGAAAUUAAUCAGAUGAAUUAUUAGCGGAUCGAUCAGUGAGUAGGAACCCAAAUGCUC